Paramacrobiotus metropolitanus is the source of this 1225-nucleotide long non-coding RNA. RefSeq lists it as uncharacterized. NCBI's taxonomy places the organism in Eukaryota, Metazoa, Tardigrada, Eutardigrada, Parachela, Macrobiotidae. The transcript has 3 exons. The record is from RefSeq and is a predicted model, not a curated record.
GCGUACAAUACAAGAUGGAGUUAACAUUUUCGAUAAUUUCAUCGAUCUUGGCGUUCCAGUCGUUCCAGUGCAUCAUAAGAGCAAAGCGCUUUCACGCAGGCAAUGUUUCUAUGUGAAGAAAAUUGCUGAUUGUUAAUACGUGGUCAGGUUCCGCAUAAAAAAAUAAGAACCCAGCCUUCUUACACGGCGACAUCCUAAUGGACGACGCCAUUUCGUUCGAUACAUUUGUGGACAGCACAGGGUUUCUGUCUGCAAGCGGGUACUGGCCUUCCCACCAGCCAAUCCCCUACGAAAUACACGAAUUUAAUCUCGAAGAAAGACAGAAAAUAAUGGACGCACUAAAUGAAAUUGAAUGGCGUAGUAAAGAAUGUAUCGAGUUCAAGCCGCGGCAAACCGAAGAAACGUAUAUUGAAAUCCGACGGUCUAAUUACACAGUGUGCCAGGACACAUCGGCCGCAUUCCCGGACGCGCUACGCGAGUAACAAUGCACUGGCUGUGCCUAGAACCGCCUGGUAUAAUCCAACACGAAAUCAUGCACGCGUUGGGCUUUCUACAUGAACACAGCCGGCCCGACCGCGAUGCGUACGUACACGUAGAUGCCAGUAAAAUGUACCCGGGCAUCCCCGAAAUAAAUCACAAAAUAUUUCCACAAAUGGCCACGUUCGGACUUCCGUACGAUCCAGAAUCACUAAUGCACUAUGGUUUGGAAGUUUCGAGAAUGCACGACCAACCAGCCAUCGUGUCGAGGAUGCAUCCACCGCCACGAAGAAUGGGGCAGCGGUAUGGCCUGAGUCCACUAGAUAUCGCUAAGCUGAGGAGAGCGUACAAAUGCUCACCGGAGGAAGCUGACCUGACAACGCCAGACUCGGAAAGGGAUUAUUCGGGUUUGGCCAUCCAUGUCACAUUUCUAAACGCCAGCGAACUGCAGGAACAGAAGGAACAACGGGAGAAAGAACGGAUGCGGGCAAGAUACGGCAAUAUACUUGCUGACUAUUUCGGGUUCGCGUUACCAAAGGGCGAGCCUGAGAUGGACGAACAGUGGCAGCAGUUCUAUCAACAACUGUACUACAGCUUCGGCGCCACCGGCACACUCCGUUCUUCAGUUUUUCUAACAACGCUCUUAUUACUCCUUACACCACUAAGCUAAUCGUGGUCGGUGGCGACAACCGGUGGUUACAUCAACUUACAUGUUUGAUGUACUGUAUAUACUAUUGAAGUACUAUCA